Oncorhynchus tshawytscha (Chinook salmon) is the source of this 1501-nucleotide long non-coding RNA. NCBI's taxonomy places the organism in Eukaryota, Metazoa, Chordata, Actinopteri, Salmoniformes, Salmonidae. The record is from Ensembl.
UAAAGAAAGGCACGCAACUGCGGAGGACAAACAAGGUGGCCGUUUUUUUCCCCCACUUUGACAAAUCGAUGUAGUUGGAACUGGAUUCCACAAAGCCUGGUCUCGGCUCCACACUGUUGGUGAAGUUCAUUAGGAACUUCCUUCACCAUGGAGUGGAGUUUAGUCUACUAGAGGAAGGUCAGCCUUGAGCUUGUCCCUAGAAUUGAAUUAAGACAACCUCCUUUGAUUCUACAGCAUAGUUUACAUUUGGCUGGAAUUCCUUCCUUUGAGGUGUCAGAGUUGACUGUACAGCAGUGUUCCUCCUUGGAGCUUCAUUUCAGGAAUGCAAAUGCCUUGGGCCCAGACAGGCAGUGAUUUAUCUCCUCAUCUAUCCUUGCACACAACUGCUUGUGCCCUUGUGUCUGCCUGUUGCUCAUUCCUUCCUCCUCUCAGUCAGCGCGUCUAGCAUGAGCCCUGGGACUCCCCCGCGUGCCCCUGUCUGCCCUACCUCCCCCCACACACUGGCCCUGGUGCCUCCCCUAACCCUGCCACAGCAGACAGUGACUCUGGGGGGGCACAGUCAACCCUGAUAAGAGAUUACUCUCAGAGGAGCACAGUGGGAGCUCCUGGCAACCCAACAUGCUGCUCCCUGACUCAUGUGGAUGAACAGAGCAUGUGCGGGAAGGGAUGCAGGUUUAUUUUUCCUGUCAGAACAGGGUAUGAACAGCAGCAGGGCCAGCGCCUGUGAAAAAGUCUCAUAUUUCUAAAACACUGUGGCCCACCCUUCAGUAGAGCAAUGGUACAAACGAUGGCUAGACAUGUUUGCCUGUAUCCUUGUAUUUCAUCUUCAGAUGUCCCCUGUCCUUUUGCACUAUGACCCUCACCUUUCUCCUACAGCUCCUCCUGCUUCAUCUUGAGUUCUAAUUUCUUAGUCCAUGCUCGUUGUAGGGUGCUGCUGAGAAACUACCGCCUGGUGUGAGGUCAGGUGUUAUUUAUCACAGCCGUCUCACUGGGAGUUGACAUUCUUAAAGGUGUUCUAAUUGAGUCUCCUUGUCUUUUCUAGGACACCAACAUAUAUAUCUAUGUCAGGACACCUCACAGCUAUAUAUUACCCGCUUCACAGAGGAAGACAAGAGAUUACUUAUCAUUCUUCAUGAGCUUAAUACAGAGCGGGAGACACAUCUAUCUCAAAACAUGGCGCUUUACACAUUUUCCAGUAUUUGCAUAAAUGCUUUAUAAAUAUGCAUAUCACUAUUUUCAGAGGUCACACAGAGUUAGUAAGCAUUUUCAUUUUAGUAAGUUAUAUUAGGUAACCUGCCAGGUAUGCAGAAUGAAGUACAUCCUUGAUCAUUCAAACAAGGUGUUUGCGUCACACUUUAAUUGAGUAGUCCAGAUAGUCCAUCUGUAGAUGCUCUACAGAUAGUCAUACUAUCAACAAACUAUCUGUUGAUAAGCAACUGCUUGCUAAGGUUACAGUUAUGGCUAGGUUUAGAAUAAGGGUUAGGAUAAGGAUUAAGGUUGG